UACAGAGGGUGCGAACGUUGCUCGGAAUUACUGGGCGUAAAGCGCGUGUAGGCGGAUGGGUAAGUCAGAUGUGAAAUCCCCGAGCUCAACUCGGGAACUGCAUUUGAAACUGCUCGUCUAGAGUACCGGAGAGGGUGGCGGAAUUCCUGGUGUAGAGGUGAAAUUCGUAGAUAUCAGGAGGAACACCGGUGGCGAAGGCGGCCACCUGGACGGUCACUGACGCUGAGACGCGAAAGCGUGGGGAGCAAACAGG
Molecule: ribosomal RNA, 253 nt
Filed under: uncultured bacterium
Lineage: Bacteria
Description: partial 16S ribosomal RNA
Rfam family: Bacterial small subunit ribosomal RNA
Source: RNAcentral